AGCAGCCGCGGUAAUUCCAGCUCCAAUAGCGUAUAUUAAAGUUGUUGCAAAAAGCUCGUAGUUGAAUUUUGGGGUUCUACCGUUGGUCGGGCAAUAGUCUGUACUGGCGUGUGGAAUUUCUACCUUCUGGGGAACUAUCAUGUUAUUUAUUUAGCGUGGUAGGAAACCGGGACCUUUACCUUGAAAAAAUUAGUGUGUUCAAAGCAGGCUUACGUCUGAAUACAUUAGCAUGGAAUAAUAAAAUAGGAUGGUGGUCCUGUUUUGUUGGGUUCUGUAUCACCAUAAUGAUUAAUAGGGAUAGUUGGGGCAUUAGUAUUCAAUUGUCAGAGGUGAAAUUCUUGGAUGAAU
This 348-nucleotide ribosomal RNA is filed under the name uncultured Gigaspora. Its description in RNAcentral is "SSU rRNA". It matches the Rfam family "Eukaryotic small subunit ribosomal RNA", at positions 569 to 929 of the family's 1831-position model. The record is from RNAcentral. Lineage: Eukaryota; Fungi; Glomeromycota; Glomeromycetes; Diversisporales; Gigasporaceae.